ACGUACUGUGCGAACGUUAUUCGGAAUCACUGGGCUUAAAGGGUGCGUAGGCGGCGAUUCAAGUCAGAUGUGAAAUGCCUGAGCUCAACUGAGGCAUUGCGUUUGAAACUGAUUUGCUAGAGUAUUUCAGGGGUGUGCGGAACUGCCAGUGGAGCGGUGAAAUGUGUUGAUAUUGGCAGGAACACCGGAGGCGAAAGCGGCACACUGGGGAAUAACUGACGCUGAGGCACGAAAGCCAGGGGAGCGAACGGGAUUAGAUACCCCGGUAGUCCUGGCUGUAAACGAUGAGCACUGGGCGGGAGGGGGUUUCCCCUUUCUGCCGUAGCGAAAGCGUUAAGUGCUCCGCCUGGGGAGUAUGGUCGCAAGGCUG
This 370-nucleotide ribosomal RNA is filed under the name uncultured bacterium. RNAcentral's name for it is "bacterial SSU rRNA". It matches the Rfam family "Bacterial small subunit ribosomal RNA", at positions 525 to 896 of the family's 1533-position model. The record is from RNAcentral.